CCCUUAGAUGUUCUGGGCCGCACGCGCGCUACACUGAUGCAUUCAACGAGUUUUGUUUGUUCCUUGGCCGAGAGGCCUGGGCAAUCUUUUGAACUUGCAUCGUGAUAGGGAUAGAUUAUUGCAAUUAUUAACCUUGAACGAGGAAUUCCUAGUAAACGCAGAUCAUCAAUCUGCAUUGAUUACGUCCCUGCCCUUUGUACACACCGCCCGUCGCACCUACCGAUUGAAUGGUCCGGUGAAGCCUCGGGAUUGUGGUUGGUUUCCUUUAUUGGAGAUUGAUUGCGAGAACUUGUCUAAACCUUAUCAUUUAGAGGAAGGUGAAGUCGUAACA
RNAcentral lists this ribosomal RNA (331 nucleotides) under uncultured eukaryote. RNAcentral describes it as "partial 18S ribosomal RNA". It matches the Rfam family "Eukaryotic small subunit ribosomal RNA", at positions 1470 to 1796 of the family's 1831-position model. The record is from RNAcentral.